GCCUGGGUGGCUUAGUCGGUUAAGUGUCCGACUUCGGCUCAGGUCAUGAUCUCACAGUUUGUAGGUUCUAGUCCUGCAUCAGGCU
Molecule: transfer RNA, 85 nt
Organism: Felis catus (domestic cat)
Lineage: Eukaryota; Metazoa; Chordata; Mammalia; Carnivora; Felidae
Rfam family: tRNA
About the family: Transfer RNA (tRNA) molecules are approximately 80 nucleotides in length. Their secondary structure includes four short double-helical elements and three loops (D, anti-codon, and T loops).
Source: Rfam